This 595-nucleotide long non-coding RNA is filed under the name Nicotiana benthamiana. Its description in RNAcentral is "long non-coding RNA (NBEN_LNC012870)". The record is from RNAcentral. Lineage: Eukaryota; Viridiplantae; Streptophyta; Magnoliopsida; Solanales; Solanaceae.
UGCUGUGCAUCUCACACAAUCUUCGUAAAUAUCGCAUCAGGAAAUUGCUUUUCGUGGAUCGAUACCAUGGUCAAUUGACUCAGUUUAGUGCGCUGUACCUCAAUAAGAUACGGGUUAGUGUUCAGUUCAAGCCUAAUUUUUUGUUAAUCGCACAUCAACAAUUUCACCCAAAAUGGCGCUGUACCUCAAGAAGAUACGGGUUAGUGUUCAGUUCAAGCCUAAUUUUUUGUUAAUCGCACAUCAACAAUUUCACCCAAAAUGGCGUCCAUAUUUGUUUAGCUACUUUCCCAACUUAUUUGGCGUUGUUUGAUUGGCCUGACAGUUUAAGAAAGAAAGAAGUAGUUUUGAAGCAUGUAGCUUGUGUGGUUAUAAAUCUAUAGUAAAGUAGAAAGUUUAAAGUUAAAUUACUUUUAAAUAUAUGGAAUGGAAUCAUUCUUUUUUGACAAACUUUAAUUUCAAAAGUAUGCUUCAUAAAUUGUAAAGUCGAAAUAGUAUGCUAUUGGAAGUACUGUGUAUACCAAACUAUAUUAGCUUACCAUAGUUAAGUGAUUUAAUGAAGUGAGAGUAUAUGUUAAUUGGCCAUGGUAAAGUGAGA